RNAcentral lists this unclassified non-coding RNA (269 nucleotides) under uncultured fungus. RNAcentral's name for it is "partial contains 5.8S ribosomal RNA, internal transcribed spacer 2, and large subunit ribosomal RNA". Lineage: Eukaryota; Fungi. The record is from RNAcentral.
AACGCACAUGGCGCCUUCCAGUAUCCUGGGAGGCAUGCCUGUCCGAGCGUCGUUUCAACCCCUCGGGCCCCCCGUGGCCCGGCGUUGGGGACCUGCCACGGCAGGCCCCGAAAAGCAGCGGCGGACCCUCCGGGCCCUCUCCUUGCGUAGUAGCAUCAGCCUCGCAUCGGGAGCCCGGGCGGCGUACGGCCCCUAAACCCCCUAAAAGCCCGCCCCCGCGCGGCACCAAGGUUGACCUCGGAUCAGGUAGGAAUACCCGCUGAACUUAA